This 332-nucleotide ribosomal RNA is filed under the name uncultured Shigella sp. Its description in RNAcentral is "bacterial SSU rRNA". It matches the Rfam family "Bacterial small subunit ribosomal RNA", at positions 1171 to 1502 of the family's 1533-position model. The record is from RNAcentral. Lineage: Bacteria; Pseudomonadati; Pseudomonadota; Gammaproteobacteria; Enterobacterales; Enterobacteriaceae.
GGGUGGGGAUGACGUCAAGUCUUCAUGGCCCUUACGACCAGGGUUACACACGUGUUACAAUGGCGCAUACAAAAGGAAGCGACCUCGCGAGAGCAAGCGGACCCAUAAAAGUGCGUCGUAGUCCGGAUUGGAGUCUGCAACUCGACUCCAUGAAGUCGGAAUCGCUAGUAAUCGUGGAUCAGAAUGCCACGGUGAAUACGUUCCCGGGCCUUGUACACACCGCCCGUCACACCAUGGGAGUGGGUUGCAAAAGAAGUAGGUAGCUUAACCUUCGGGAGAGCGCUUACCACUUUGUGAUUCAUGACUGGGGUGAAGUCGUAACAAGGUAACCA